GACUGGCUGGGGCCAGAGGGUGUAGGCCAAGGAAGCCAGGAGGAAAGAGGAAACAGUUUUGGAGAGGCUGCCAGGUGUGUGGCACUAUGCCAGCUUCUCUACACAUGCUCUCCUGCUGAACUUUCAUAAAACCCAGGCACAGGUGCUUAUAGCAUGCAGGUAAGAAAAGCAGACGUGUAAAGGUCAACAUAUUUAAAAAAUGUAAAAACCUCACAGCUGAGUUUUUAUGACCAAAUGCCAGUUACAAAGUGUGUGCCUGCAAGAUGACCCCCAUUUACUUUGGAAUUCUUGUGAAACACACCAUGAGAGAAUGAGAGCAAAAAACAAUGCUGAUCAGAGGUAGAAAUUUUAGUAGGGAUGGUUACAGCCUAGGGAUUAAACAGCUCCAUCUGGGGACUUCCCUAGUAAUCCAGUGGUUGAGACUGCAUUCCCAGGGCAGGGGGCCAGGUUUGACCCCUGGUCAGGGAACUAGACCCUGCAUGCCACAGCCAAGACCACUGCAGACAAAUUUAAAAAAAAAAAGAAGAGUUCCAUCCAGAUACUGGUCUGACAGCUUUGAUUCCAGCACAUUCCUGCAAUCUCAGCCAGAGGUGCCCCAUCAGGCCUCCUUAACCACUCUAGGGCCUGGGCCACCACUGAAGAAUACUGAAACUGACGAAGGGCAAUGGGAGCCCUCACAGUUCUGAGCUGCUGAAGCCACCAGCUACAGGUUCACAGACCAAGUUCUGCCACAGCAUUUGUCUGCCUGGGCCUUCUUUCUUUUCCAACUAUCUGAGUCAGUCCAGCCACUUCCCCCUAAAGAUUCUGAAGGGCCUCAAUAGGAUUAUAUCAGGGGAUGCUGGAAGUUUUAGAGAAAGAAGAGAGGUAGGGGAUAUUGGGGGAGAUAGAGGAAAAAGAAGUGAGACCACACUGGGCCUCUGGGUGAAGAGAGAAAAAAACUCCAAGGUUCCUUUAUAUUCCAGGCAGAAAACAGAAAGAAAAAUGAUAAUGAAUGCCAAUUAUCCAGGCCUGCUGAAAAACACUUACAAAAAAAAAAAGCAUCAGCACUUCAUUAAAUCCAUACUUGCUCUCGGUGCCACUGAGAAACAAAGAUGAGGAGGAGUGAAGUGGUAUGUUUUUGAAAUGAAAAAAUAACCGAGACGGGCUGAUGAGAAGUCCUUGAACCCAAGAUAACCAAAUAGACAUUCAAACAGCUCCAUUAAGAAAGGGAGCGCAGGGGCCACCCUUCUGUUGAGGGGGGAGGAGGUCUGCAGGAACCUUGUGUGUGAGAGUGGAAGCUUUGGCUACAGUCAUUGCUACUGCUGCUGCUGCCAAGUCGCUUCAGUCGUGUCUACCUCUGUGUGACCCCAUAGACGGCAGCCCACCAGGCUCCCCGUCCCUGGGAUUCUGCAGGCAAGAACACUAGAGUGGGUUACCAUUUCCUUCUCAAUGCAUGAAAGUGAAAAGUCAAAGUGAAGUCACUCAGUCAUGUCCGACCCUCAGUGACCCCAUGGACUGCAGCCUACCAGGCUCCUCCGUCCAUGGGAUUUUCCAGGCAGGAGUACUAGAGUGGGGUACCAUUGCCUUCUCCACAGUCACUGCCCACCUGCUAACACUCAGAAACUCAGUUGCUUAUUUUGACUACUCAGUGCUUAACUAGGACUGCAAGCAGAGGUUUUAAUACCACCUGUGGCGGUAUUUGAAAAGCUGCUGCUUGCAAACAGUCUGCAAGGGGCUUGCAGAGAGCUAGCUGAGAGACAUAGAGUUAUCGGUUCCUGAAAUUUGCAUCACCCCAUAUAACAAGGGCCUAGCCUCCCAUUUCGCCAUGGACAGCACCAAAACAGUGUUGGGAUCACACUGUCUGGACAGAAGAGGAGAAAAAUCAAUUUCAGAUUUUUCAGGUGAGAUUCUGCAACAUGCUUAAUAAAAGAAGGAAUGAUUCUCACAUGUACUGAGCAUGAAAUGAGGGAAGCAUUGCAGUUCUCUGACAUAAUGAAAUAGCAAAUAAAGUAUCCUGAGAUCCUGAAACACUGUCAUUGGGUGGGUCUCUGCAUUAGUAAGGGCUUCUCUAGUGGCUCAGAUGGUAAAGAAUCUGCCUGCAAAAGUGGGUUUGACCCCUGGGUCAGGAAGAUCCCCAGGAGACUGGAAUGACUAACCACUCCAAUAUUCUUGCCUGGAAAACUGCAUGGAUAGAGGAGCCUGGCGAGCUAAAGGAGUUUCCUUCUUCCACGUUAGUAAACAUCCUCUAGAAGGAUAAAUGACAACAGAAACCUGUGAUAUAGAAACAAGUGAAGAUAGAAAUUCACUGUAUCACUAUUGUAGCCAGCCUGGUGUCAGUUAUGAGCAAGGACAGAAAGCCAGGGUACCACAGGCAUGGGACAAGUCCCCUGGGUUAGCACCCAGCAACUUGUCAAUAGAUCACAUCUCACUCAUGAAGCACAUUUUCAUUAACAGAAGGCUUCUUUUGAGGCUGGCCUGACUUUAGAAUAAUCACCUUUAGAGAAAAAGGCCUCCGGCCAGAAGAUGAUGCAAAUCACCUAAACUUUGCAUAUGAUAAGUUUGCAGGAAGAAAGCCUGGCUUACUGCA
Molecule: long non-coding RNA, 2566 nt
Organism: Bos grunniens (domestic yak)
Lineage: Eukaryota; Metazoa; Chordata; Mammalia; Artiodactyla; Bovidae
Source: Ensembl